UCAUUGAUUCCCUGCAUCUACACGCGGUUAUCGUAGAACCAUACAUUCCAAGAGAGAGAAUAAUGUUUGGCAAGGCCCAUCUCGUCUUCCUUCUUUUCCUAGCCCUUUCAUCUGACGUGAUCAUCUCUUCGAAGGUCGCCGUCGCUGCCCGCCUGGUGAGCAACGGAGGAAGCAGAUCCGGGGUGAUGGCGGUGAGCAAGAUUGGUGUUGGCGAUAGGAUGAUCCCGACUGCCGGUAUACAAAAUGCUCCACCGUCACCUUCCAAAUGAUCCACGACUAUCAAAUUUUCUGAACGAUUGCUCCUAAAUUUCGUUGGUGUUUUAUGGAGACAAUACAAAUGUAAUUCACUUUCGAUCCUAUCCAUGGUUAAGUAGGGUUUUCCACAUACUUCUGUUGACGGAACUCAAAUGAUUUCCUUGAAUACACUGCCAAUGGCAAAAGAUUUUAGUUUGGUUU
Eucalyptus grandis is the source of this 456-nucleotide long non-coding RNA. RefSeq lists it as uncharacterized. NCBI's taxonomy places the organism in Eukaryota, Viridiplantae, Streptophyta, Magnoliopsida, Myrtales, Myrtaceae. The transcript has 2 exons. The record is from RefSeq and is a predicted model, not a curated record.